This 487-nucleotide unclassified non-coding RNA is filed under the name Pectinophora gossypiella (pink bollworm). RNAcentral's name for it is "solute carrier family 52, riboflavin transporter, member 3-A". Lineage: Eukaryota; Metazoa; Arthropoda; Insecta; Lepidoptera; Gelechiidae. The record is from RNAcentral.
AUUACUAUAAAAUACCCUUCAUAUGUUAGCCUUCGAAAUAGAUUUCGGGCUUGUUUUUUAACAUAACAGGAGGCGAUUUCAUGCUCCUUAGACUCCGAUUUAACAAAAUAUUUUAUAUAAUUGGGAUACUAAUAUACAAGGCUAUCAGUUUAAAAUAAAAUUUUAUAAUAAUCAUAUCUUUACUGUGAUGAAAAGCAAGGUGAUGUAAUUUAGGUGCAAGUUCAAAGGUUUUUGCUGACUACCUACUAUACUGUGCUGACUGAAGAGAAAUCACAGCACGUGUUCAAUGACCCUAUCAGACGAGGUUACUAGGUUGUAAACACUCAGCAGCUUACACAUUGAGUGUGCGUGUUUGCGCCGGCUGUUGACUCGCAUUGUCAGGCGCGACACGUCGCUCACUCAUUGUCUGCCAAUUGCCUCUAAUUAACUUCUUGAAACUACCACUUGAGCUCCUAACUUGCGAAUCUAAAUCGGGCGCGGGCGGCGG